This 460-nucleotide ribosomal RNA is filed under the name uncultured bacterium. Its description in RNAcentral is "partial 16S ribosomal RNA". It matches the Rfam family "Bacterial small subunit ribosomal RNA", at positions 338 to 795 of the family's 1533-position model. The record is from RNAcentral.
CCUACGGGAGGCAGCAGUGAGGAAUAUUGGUCAAUGGGCGCGAGCCUGAACCAGCCAAGUAGCGUGAAGGAUGACUGCCCUACGGGUUGUAAACUUCUUUUAUAACGGAAUAAAGUGAGACACGUGUGCCUUUUUGUAUGUACUUUAUGAAUAAGGAUCGGCUAACUCCGUGCCAGCAGCCGCGGUAAUACGGAGGAUCCGAGCGUUAUCCGGAUUUAUUGGGUUUAAAGGGAGCGUAGAUGGGUUGUUAAGUUAGUUGUGAAAGUUUGCGGCUCAACCGUAAAAUUGCAAGUGAUACUGGCCGUCUUGAGUACAGUUGAGGUAGGCGGAAUGCGUGGUGUAGCGGUGAAAUGCUUAGAUAUCACGAAGAACUCCGAUUGCGAAGGCAGCUUACUAAGCUGCCACUGACAUUGAUGCGCGAAAGUGUGGGUAUCAAACAGGAUUAGAUACCCGAGUAGUC